CGCCAGGGUCGCCGCCAACAGCCGCAGCCCCCCGGGAGAGGGCGGGGAGGGGGAGGGCGCGCUAACGCCGGACUUGAGCGGCCUCGGCAACUGGGGCCCACUGGUCAGCGAAGAGUUCCGCAAAUGCCUGGAGAAGCCCGCCGAGUGCGGCAUCAUCAUCGAGUGACCGACCACGGCAUCGUCGCCUCGAUCGUCGCCCACUCAGCCCGAAGCACGUCACUACGAACACGGCACCACGUCAGCGCUUUCUAAAAUACACCGUGUCUUGUUUCUGUUACUGACAUCCGACUGAGAGAGAAAUAACCAGCGACCGGGGCGUGAAUCGCAGCGCCGACUCAACGGGGCGUGGCGUGGCGCUGCAGAGCCGCGGCUGCGAGUUGCACCCUUUGGCUCCAAAGCGCACCUGCCGGAGGACGUCAACGCCGUCGGGGGUCGCCGAGCUGGCGAAGGACGAAGUGGACGAAGUGGACGAAGGACCCCGCGCCGAGGACAGGCAACGUGCUCUGUCUCCCUCUUACUUCAGUCCCGUAAAGGUGCGAGAGAGACGGCUGCUGCAGUCGAGC
Long non-coding RNA from Thrips palmi, 563 nucleotides. RefSeq lists it as uncharacterized. The transcript is spliced from 3 exons. The record is from RefSeq and is a predicted model, not a curated record. Lineage: Eukaryota; Metazoa; Arthropoda; Insecta; Thysanoptera; Thripidae.